CCUACGGGAGGCAGCAGUGAGGAAUAUUGGUCAAUGGGCGCGAGCCUGAACCAGCCAAGUCGCGUGAGGGAUGACGGCCCUACGGGUUGUAAACCUCUUUUGCCGGGGAGCAACGGGCGCCACGUGUGGCUCCUCUGAGAGUCCCCGGAGAAAAAGCAUCGGCUAACUCCGUGCCAGCAGCCGCGGUAUUACGGAGGAUGCGAGCGUUAUCCGGAUUUAUUGAGUUUAAGGGAUGCGUAGGCGGACCGUUAAGUCAGCGGUCAAAUUGAGGGGUUCAACCUCUGCGCGCGAUUGAAACUGGCGCUCUUGAGUGGAAGAGAAGCAGGCGGAAUGCGUGGUGUAGCGGUGAAAUGCAUAGAUAUCACGCAGAACCCCGAUUGCGAAGGCAGCAUGCCGGCUUCCUACUGACGCUGAAGCUCGAAAGCGUGGGGAUCGAACAGGAUUAGAUACCCCAGUAGUC
Molecule: ribosomal RNA, 460 nt
Filed under: uncultured bacterium
Lineage: Bacteria
Description: partial 16S ribosomal RNA
Rfam family: Bacterial small subunit ribosomal RNA
Source: RNAcentral